Molecule: long non-coding RNA, 239 nt
Filed under: Mytilus galloprovincialis (Mediterranean mussel)
Lineage: Eukaryota; Metazoa; Mollusca; Bivalvia; Mytilida; Mytilidae
Source: RNAcentral
CGAUAUUAUGCAUUUUUUAAUUCUAUUAAAUGAACUUAAAAAUAUUGUGUCAGACUUAUUCCGAAUUAUGUUUAACAAAAUGACUUGAAAUUUGAACUUUAGCCUUACAGUGAUAAAUUUUCAGAUCUGUCGAGCACCUACUUCAUGUUUUCUUUUACUUUAAAUUAGGAGUGGGGUUAUGCUCAGCACGACAACACAUACAAUCUUGAAAGUUUUGAUUAAACAUGUAUAUAUCAGGC